CCUACGGGCGGCUGCAAUUAGGAAUCUUGCACAAUGGGGGAAACCCUGAUGCAGCGACGCCGCGUGAAGGAUGAAGGAUUUCGGUCUGUAAACUUCUUUUGUUAGGGAAGAAGAAUGUGACGGUACCUAACGAAUAAGCCCCGGCUAACUACGUGCCAGCAGCCGCGGUAAUACGUAGGGGGCGAGCGUUGUCCGAAGUUACUGGGCGUAAAGCGCGCGUAGGCGGCUUUUUAAGUCUGAGGUGAAAGGUUCUGCGCUUAACGUGAACAGUGCCU
This 275-nucleotide ribosomal RNA is filed under the name uncultured Armatimonas sp. RNAcentral's name for it is "partial 16S ribosomal RNA". It matches the Rfam family "Bacterial small subunit ribosomal RNA", at positions 338 to 626 of the family's 1533-position model. The record is from RNAcentral. Lineage: Bacteria; Bacillati; Armatimonadota; Armatimonadia; Armatimonadales; Armatimonadaceae.